RNAcentral lists this ribosomal RNA (441 nucleotides) under Ctenophora environmental sample. Its description in RNAcentral is "partial Bacterial small subunit ribosomal RNA". It matches the Rfam family "Bacterial small subunit ribosomal RNA", at positions 91 to 530 of the family's 1533-position model. Lineage: Eukaryota; Metazoa; Ctenophora. The record is from RNAcentral.
ACGACCGGCGCACGGGUGCGUAACGCGUAUAGAACCUACCUUUUACAGAGGGAUAGCCUUUAGAAAUGAAGAUUAAUACCUCAUAGUAUUGCGAUUUGGCAUCAAAUUGUAAUUAAAGAUUUAUCGGUAAAAGAUGGCUAUGCGUCCUAUUAGCUAGAUGGUAAGGUAACGGCUUACCAUGGCAACGAUAGGUAGGGGCCCUGAGAGGGGGAUCCCCCACACUGGUACUGAGACACGGACCAGACUCCUACGGGAGGCAGCAGUGAGGAAUAUUGGUCAAUGGAGGAAACUCUGAACCAGCCAUGCCGCGUGAAGGAUGACGGCCCUAUGGGUUGUAAACUUCUUUUAUAGAGGAAGAAACUUGUCUACGUGUAGACAACUGACGGUACUCUACGAAUAAGGAUCGGCUAACUCCGUGCCAGCAGCCGCGGUAAUACGGAG